RNAcentral lists this long non-coding RNA (293 nucleotides) under Rattus norvegicus (Norway rat). RNAcentral's name for it is "long non-coding RNA NONRATT024326". Lineage: Eukaryota; Metazoa; Chordata; Mammalia; Rodentia; Muridae. The record is from RNAcentral.
AAAUGAGCAGCCUGGAGUCAUGGGAGAAAACCAGACCUCCAAUUCCAAGGACAUUAAAGAUACAGAGCAGUUUUCAGCUCAUGACCUUAUCCCAUCUCCAAAAUUAAAGCCCUCUCAAGGAAUGCCAGUCAAUGAUGAUUUAUGUUUUAGCAAAAAAAGGUCAUCAAGAAACUUAUUUCAGAGUAGUCGGGAUUUUAACUCAGAUUCAAUUCCUACAUGUGGUGCUGGUAAUACUGCAACUCUUCAGACAAAUCUUCCCGGGAAAUGUGGGCAACUUGGAUUGUCACAGAUAG